UGCAAGACGAACGGUAGAUUUGUAGCAAUACUAAUUGAGAGUGUCGUACGGGUGCGUAACACGUAUGCAAUCUACCCGCAACAGGAGGAUAGCUCCCCGAAAGGGGAAUUAACCCUCCAUAAGAUCACAGUGUGGCCUCACACAGUGAUUAAAACUGAGGUGGUUGCGGAUGAGCAUGCGUCUGAUUAGUUAGUUGGCGGGGUAACGGCCCACCAAGACGAUGAUCAGUAGGGGACCUGAGAGGGUGAUCCCCCACACUGGCACUGAGAUACGGGCCAGACUCCUACGGGAGGCAGCAGUAGGGAAUAUUGGACAAUGGGUGAGAGCCUGAUCCAGCCAUGCCGCGUGCAGGAAGACGGCCUUCUGGGUUGUAAACUGCUUUUAUUUGGGGAUAAAAAGGUCUUGCGAGACCAACUGAAGGUACCAGAUGAAUAAGCCACGGCUAACUACGUGCCAGCAGCCGCGGUAAUACGUAGGUGGCAAGCGUUGUCCGGAUUUAUUGGGUUUAAAGGGUGCGUAGGCGGCCCGUUAAGUCAGUGGUGAAAGACGGUAGCUCAACUAUCGAGGUGCCAUUGAUACUGACAGGCUUGAGUGCAGUCGAGGUAGGCGGAAUGGACGGUGUAGCGGUGAAAUGCAUAGAUAUCGUCCAGAACACCGAUAGUGAAGACAGCUUACCAAGCUGUAACUGACGCUGAGGCACGAAAGCGUGGGGAUCAAACAGGAUUAGAUACCCUGGUAGUCCACGCUGUAAACGUUGAUAACUCGCUG
RNAcentral lists this ribosomal RNA (768 nucleotides) under uncultured bacterium. RNAcentral's name for it is "bacterial SSU rRNA". It matches the Rfam family "Bacterial small subunit ribosomal RNA", at positions 56 to 822 of the family's 1533-position model. The record is from RNAcentral.